Clostridium sp. CAG:221 is the source of this 102-nucleotide non-coding RNA. The record is from Rfam. Lineage: Bacteria; Bacillati; Bacillota; Clostridia; Eubacteriales; Clostridiaceae.
AAAAUUUGCUAGGGGUGCUACAAAAAGCUGAGAGAUAUGACAUAAUCAACCCUUGUACCUGAACUGGAUAAUGCCAGCGGAGGAAAGCGUAAAUCAAUGAUG